GAGUUUGAUCUUGACUCAGAUUGAACGCUGGCGGCAGGCCUAACACAUGCAAGUCGAGCGGAUGACGGGAGCUUGCUCCUUGAUUCAGCGGCGGACGGGUGAGUAAUGCCUAGGAAUCUGCCUGGUAGUGGGGGACAACGUUUCGAAAGGAACGCUAAUACCGCAUACGUCCUACGGGAGAAAGCAGGGGACCUUCGGGCCUUGCGCUAUCAGAUGAGCCUAGGUCGGAUUAGCUAGUUGGUGGGGUAAUGGCUCACCAAGGCGACGAUCCGUAACUGGUCUGAGAGGAUGAUCAGUCACACUGGAACUGAGACACGGUCCAGACUCCUACGGGAGGCAGCAGUGGGGAAUAUUGGACAAUGGGCGAAAGCCUGAUCCAGCCAUGCCGCGUGUGUGAAGAAGGUCUUUCGGAUUGUAAAGCACUUUAAGUUGGGAGGAAGGGCAGUAAGUUAAUACCUUGCUGUUUUGACGUUACCGACAGAAUAAGCACCGGCUAACUCUGUGCCAGCAGCCG
RNAcentral lists this ribosomal RNA (514 nucleotides) under bacterium enrichment culture clone ALO1_GLFRUDD03G89GV. RNAcentral's name for it is "bacterial SSU rRNA". It matches the Rfam family "Bacterial small subunit ribosomal RNA", at positions 9 to 517 of the family's 1533-position model. The record is from RNAcentral.